Molecule: ribosomal RNA, 562 nt
Filed under: Aspergillus niger
Lineage: Eukaryota; Fungi; Ascomycota; Eurotiomycetes; Eurotiales; Aspergillaceae
Rfam family: Bacterial small subunit ribosomal RNA
Source: RNAcentral
UAGUCGUGACUGAGAGGUCGAUCGACCACAUUGGGUCUGAGAAAACCCCAAUGCGUAUUAGUACAGCAGUGAGGAAUAUUGGUCAAUGGCCGAAAGGCUGAACCAGUAACUUGGAAGAAUGUAAAUGUAUUCAAGAAAUACAAUAACGAUUAACUCGUAUAAAAUUCUAAAUAGGAUAAUGAUAAUGACAAUUUCCUAUUUAUAAGUCUUGACCAAAUUACGUGCCAGCAGUCGCGGUAAUACGUAGAAGACUAGUGUUAGUCAUCUUUAUUAGGUUUAAAGGGUACCUAGACGGUAAAUUAAACUCUAAAUGAGUACUUUUUUACUAGAGUUUUAUGUAAGAAGGAAGAACUUCUGGAGUAGGGAUAAAAUACGAUACCAGAAGGACUGAUAACGGCGAAGGCGUCCUUCUAUGUAAAAACUGACGUUGAGGGACGAAGGCUCGGGUAGCGAUAAGGAUUAGAUACCCUAGUAGUCCAAGCAGACAAUGAUGAAUGUCAUAGACUAGAUUUAAUAUUUAGUCUAUAAAUGAAAGUGUAAGCAUUCCACCUCAAGAGUAAUA